Acanthosepion pharaonis is the source of this 113-nucleotide non-coding RNA. Lineage: Eukaryota; Metazoa; Mollusca; Cephalopoda; Sepiida; Sepiidae. The record is from the annotation of a GenBank genome assembly.
UUACGACCACACUAAUUUGAAACACCUGUUCUCGUACGAACACUAAAGUUAAGCAACGUCGAACCUGAUCAUUACCUAGAUGGGUGACCGCUUGGAAAUUCCAGUUGCUGUAA